AGAAACUAACAAGGAUUCCCCUAGUAACUGCGAGUGAAGCGGGAAAAGCUCAAAUUUAAAAUCUGGCGGUCUCUGGCCGUCCGAGUUGUAAUCUAGAGAAGUGUUACCCGCGCUGGACCGUGUACAAGUCCCCUGGAAUGGGGCGUCAUAGAGGGUGAGAAUCCCGUCUCUGACACGGACUACCAGGGCUUUGUGGUAUGCUCUCAAAGAGUCGAGUUGUUUGGGAAUGCAGCUCAAAAUGGGUGGUAAAUUCCAUCUAAAGCUAAAUAUUGGCGAGAGACCGAUAGCGAACAAGUACCGUGAGGGAAAGAUGAAAAGAACUUUGGAAAGAGAGUUAAACAGUACGUGAAAUUGCUGAAAGGGAAACGCUUGAAGUCAGUCGCGUUGGCCGGGAAUCAGCCUCGCUUUUGCGUGGUGUACUUUCUGGUUGACGGGUCAGCAUCAAUUUUGACCGCUGGAAAAAGGCUUGGGGAAUGUGGCAGCUCCGGCUGUGUUAUAGCCCCUUGUCACAUACAGCGGUUGGGAUUGAGGAACUCAGCACGCCGCAAGGCCGGGUUUCGACCACGUUCGUGCUUAGGAUGCUGGCAUAAUGGCUUUAAGCGACCCGUCUUGAAACACGGACCAAGGAGUCUAACAUGCCUGCGAGUGUUUGGGUGGAAAACCCGAGCGCGUAAUGAAAGUGAAAGUUGAGAUCCCUGUCGCGGGGAGCAUCGACGCCCGGACCAGAACUUUUGGGACGGAUCCGCGGUAGAGCAUGUAUGUUGGGACCCGAAAGAUGGUGAACUAUGCCUGAAUAGGGUGAAGCCAGAGGAAACUCUGGUGGAGGCUCGUAGCGAUUCUGACGUGCAAAUCGAUCGUCAAAUUUGGGUAUAGGGGCGAAAGACUAAUCGAA
Molecule: ribosomal RNA, 892 nt
Filed under: Podaxis sp. PREM 58760
Lineage: Eukaryota; Fungi; Basidiomycota; Agaricomycetes; Agaricales; Agaricaceae
Description: eukaryotic LSU rRNA
Rfam family: Eukaryotic large subunit ribosomal RNA
Source: RNAcentral